CUCUAACUUGGAUAAUUUCAUUUGUGUCCCUUUGUAAAAACAGGUUUGUUUUUCAGGCCUUUUGCCCCUCGAGACCUCAGUGAUGUGAAUGUGAGCAGUGCUCUGUGCAUUUAUGCAUGCUCGUGUCCUGGAGCCUAGAAGCACAAUUUCCCGUAAACAUUUCCAAGUUUGGAACAAAAACAGUGAUGGCCUGUGCCGUGACUUGAGUUCAGCAAGAACUGCCUGCUUGUGCUACAUGUCUUCAGUGGGAGUAUUAUCAUUAUAUAAAUGGAGACAAGAGGUUUUCACCCAGAUUACACAUGUGCAAAAAAACCAUACGUUAAGCUAGAACAUCCACUUCCUGAAAAUAUGGCACAGGAGAAGGGAGAGAACUGGUGUAGGUGUGAACCUUGCACCUGCAUUUUGGAAAGGCACAUUCUACCUGUCCUUCCAUCCAUCUGUUCAUCACCCAAGGAAUCCUGAGAGCUUUUUUGCUUUGCUUCCUGUGCCUAUGGAAACAGAAAAACUAAAGAAAGAUGAACGACUUCUGUGUGAAAUUUCCUUCCAGGGAACUAACUGCAAAUUGCAGUGGUUAUUAAUAGGAGUGAUUCAAGUCUAAUCAGGGAAAAGUAAGUAAAAACAUUUACUUUGCAUCCUACAAUCUAUGUUGGGGCUGGAAAACAAGAACUCUUUUUCUUUUUUUGGCACUUGUUUUCAUUUUCUUGACUUUGUUGUUCAUUUAUAGAAAAUAAUGGAAAAAGGGAAGCCAUCUCAGGAAGGAAAAAAACUCGCUUGUCACCUGGGAUAAGGAGAAUCAAAGGUGAGGCCCGGGGUGAAAAAUGGGCAGAGAAAGGGCUCCCAUGUUUGAGAUAGGUGCAUCUACAGGGCAUAUAUGUGAUGUGGGCUGUUGCUGUCUUAGGUUUUUAGCUGGGAGUUCCCCUUGUGGGUAGAGCUUUACUCCUGACCCCUCGUGGUUCUGAAUGUUCAGUGUCAAAUUGGCCAGUGUACUCCAUUUCCUGUGCUAAUAUAGGUCUUUUCUUUGUUUAAAUCAUGCCUUAUGCCAGUGGGAGAAAUUGAAUACACAAA
Molecule: long non-coding RNA, 1065 nt
Filed under: Manacus vitellinus (golden-collared manakin)
Lineage: Eukaryota; Metazoa; Chordata; Aves; Passeriformes; Pipridae
Description: lncRNA (ENSMVIG00005006378.1)
Source: RNAcentral